CUCCCAGCUCAAGAUGGCGGCGACAGGCGGCACUCCGUCGCCUCCGCCGCCGAGAUCCCUCCGCGCAGGCCCCGCCCCCCCCGGCCUACUUCGUGUCCACGAAGACGCACGCCUCCAAUUGGAGGGGCGGACCCACCUUGCUCAGCCUAGCUAAUCACGGACAUAAUUCAGAAUAUUAACAGGCGCUAUGACCAAUCAAUGCAAGCAGCGGGAAAGGCGGUCCGCCGCCCGCACAAGGACCCAUGGGGCUUGGAGUCCCGAACUUGUAGUGGCCGAGCCGAGCCCUGGGUCGCCUCCGCCCCGGAAGGACUACAAUUCCCGGCCAGACCGCGCGGCGCCGUCACCCCCUGCGGUUUUGAACAGUUGCGGCUGUAGCCAGAGGCCCGGCUGAGACGAGGGCACUGACUAGAAAGGCAGUCGGGGGUAGUUGUGUGCGUGCCUUUGACAACACCUAGGUCCCACCUUUGCACAGCGUCCCCGCCUGCUGCCGCCCCUCGUGGAGGAAAUCCGUUCCGCUCGGCCGGCUUCCCGCCCAGGCGGCCUGGGGUGCGAAGGCUUCGUUUUCCCAUUCCCGCUGCUUCCGGUCCUGAUGGAGGGAGGCGGGCGAAGGGCCUGGGGCCUUCGGCAGCGGAAGAGGCCGCUGAGCGGGCGAGCCCCAUGGUGGUGGCCUGUAGGAGCUGCAGACCCACUCGCUCCGGCCUCCCUUGCAGGCCCCGACCCCUUGGGACUUUGCGCGGCAAAGGUCAGGCCCGCCAUCACCCCAGCCCAGGCCUAGUAGCUUCCAGGAGGCGCGUGCGGGACAGAGGCCCUGCCGGGAAGCUGGCCCCCAGCCCCAUGCAGUCCUGCCUGUUGGAGGUGUUAGGCUCAAAAGCUACUACGGGGAGAUUGGGACAGAGUCCCACAGAGUCAGCAUCAGCUUUGGAGGUCAAGGGUGGCGUCAGCCCUUCUUCCCCUGGAUGGACCACUUUUUCCACCUGUGGAGAGGAGUGACACAACUUGCACCUUGGGUGAACAGUCCUUUAGCCUAGAGGACAGACAGCAUUGAGUCUCUCUCUGGGCUCGAACCCAGGACCUUGCACUUGGAGGCAGCUGCGGUGCCACUGAGCUACACCCCUGGCAGGGCUCUUGCUCUGUGUUGCAAGACAGGCUUUCCAGGGAGUAAACAGCAAGCACCACUGGGACUUUGCUCAAGUUUGGGUCUUUGUUGUCUUUAUUUUUUUGAGGCACGGUCUCACUAUGUAGCUUUGAACUCACUGUGUAGCCCAGUCUGUCCUCAAACUUGUGGUGAUCCUCCUGCCUCAGUCUCCCAGGUGCUGAGAUUAUAGGUGUGUACCACUAUGGCCAGCUGUGUUUUUUUGAGUAGGGUCUCACUAUGUAGUUCAGGUUGGCCUUGAACUCGAUAUCUAGCCCAGGUUGAUUUUGCAACUAGGAUCGUCCCUGUCUCAGCCUCCUGCAGGCUGAGAUUACAGGCCUGGGCUACCAUGCUCUGCCCCUUUAGGCUUCGGAUCAGGCAGGUACAUCAGGAGCUGGCAUCCACCCCAGGUUGCCCCUUCUUCAUUUGAACGGUGUAUAUAGGUAAGUAGUCAGUCACUCAUGGGCACCUCCUCUGUGCAGGCGUUGUCCUGGGCACUGAAAUUACCGUGGGCUCCUCGGGAUGCGCCUCCCUGGCUGUACUUCUGCCUGGUGAGGGUUGGGGGAUGCAAAGUCUGAGUGUGUCAGGGAGGGGUGACCCCCCCCGCUCUGUGACCCAGGGCCCUCCCCUGUCUGCACCUCUCAUGCUCCAAGCCUCAGGACUGCCACUGUCCCUGCUGCUAAUACCCUGAAAUUAGAGCCCCGUAGCGAGUGAGACCUUGCCCAGGCUGGGAGUGGCGUCCACUGGUGAGGUGGGUGAGCCUGGGCUGCCUGGAGCUGAGCUGGACUGAGGGGCAGGGCCUGGUGCCUCCUGCGUGUGCUAGGAGAUAGUGGCCCAGGCCAGCCCUCAGCACCCUAUACCACCAUCCAGUUCCUGGCGAAGGGUCUCGCUGUGCCCCCGGCGAGUGCCACCCUGGCUCCAGUGGGAAGGGUCAGGCUGAGCCCAGGGUGAGUCCCACAGAGCCCUCUGAGCACUGCUUCCCAAGAGCCGCAGGGCCACAGCGAGCAGGUGCUGGUGGGAGGCCACCUGGACUUGGAGAGGCCUCCCAGGUUCAGAGGCGCUGUGUCCUCAGCAAGAGAACAAGUCUCAGAGCUGGGAGGGCCACCGCAGCCAGGGCCAACGCACAGGUGGACAUGCUGGUGCUCCGAGAUGGCUGGCAGAGGGCACCUCUUAGGACCUGUCCCUCCCUACAGCAGAGGCAACCCCACACUCAUUUCCACAUCAGGGUCUCGGAUGUCAUCUUCCUUUGCUUUCACGGAGAAGUUAAAUAGUCACAGUGGAGCCUGAGGGGAUGGCUAGGAUUGCCUUCACCAGGGUGUCCUGGAAUCAGCCUGGGAAGAGCAGCGGGCCCCUAGGGGGCCUUGGUGGGGUCCCCAGGGUGCCAGGACGCAGGAGGAGCAUGGGCCACAGCCCCAGGUUUGCUGGGUGCUGCAGAUGCUGGGUGGCUGAGGGAGCAGGGAGCUCCAAGACUUAUCCCGGCCCCUGUGCACUCCAUGCAGGGCAGCUUAGGUCCCCAGUGGAGUGGGCCUGCCCCCAGCCCACCCUAGCAAGGUUGGCCCUGAGGUUAGUCAUUCCAUUUCCCCCUCCGCCUCCAGGGAGGCCAUCGAGGAGUGUACUUGGCCAGGCGUGUUGACACAAGCCUGUCAUUCCAGCACUCUGGGAGGCUGAGGCAAGAGGGUCACAGGUUUGGGCCCAGCCGAGGCAAUUUAGUGACUUAGCAAGAAAAUAGCAAAAACCGCUGGGGAUGGAGCUCAGUGGGAAGACCUAGGCUUUAUCCCUGGUUCCAGAUACACACACACACACACUCUCUCUCUCUCUCUCUCUCUCUCUCUCUCUCUCUCUCUCUCUCACUCGAGGGAAGGAAGGAGGACAGGGAGCUGGGCCCCUGGGGCCUGCAGUGCCUCCCACACCCUGCUCCUCCCGGCCCUUUCCAUGCUGGUCACUGUGCUCUGAGGGGACCUCUCGUGGCCCCAGGGUGUGGGAGGCAGGGCCUGGGAGGGGGGUCCAGGCUCCUGGGCGGUGAGCCAGGC
RNAcentral lists this long non-coding RNA (3162 nucleotides) under Heterocephalus glaber (naked mole-rat). RNAcentral's name for it is "lncRNA (ENSHGLG00100045010.1)". Lineage: Eukaryota; Metazoa; Chordata; Mammalia; Rodentia; Bathyergidae. The record is from RNAcentral.